CCUACGGGCCGCAGCAGUGGGGAAUAUUGGACAAUGGGCGAAAGCCUGAUCCAGCCAUGCCGCGUGAGUGAAGAAGGCCUUAGGGUUGUAAAGCUCUUUCAGCGGGGAAGAUAAUGACGAUACCCGCAGAAGAAGCCCCGGCUAACUUCGUGCCAGCAGCCGCGGUAAUACGAAGGGGGCUAGCGUUGUUCGGAUUUACUGGGCGUAAAGCGCGCGUAGGCGGACGUUUAAGUCAGGGGUGAGAUCCCAGGGCUCAACCCUGGAACUGCCUUUGAUACUGGACGUCUGGAGUUCGGGAGAGGUGAGUGGAAUUCCGAGUGUAGAGGUGAAAUUCGUAGAUAUUCGGAGGAACACCAGAAGCGAAGGCGGCUCACUGGCCCGAUACUGACGCUGAGGCGCGAAAGCGUGGGGAGCAAACAGGAUUAGAUACCCGGGUAGUC
RNAcentral lists this ribosomal RNA (440 nucleotides) under uncultured bacterium. Its description in RNAcentral is "bacterial SSU rRNA". It matches the Rfam family "Bacterial small subunit ribosomal RNA", at positions 338 to 795 of the family's 1533-position model. The record is from RNAcentral.